Non-coding RNA from Ameiurus melas (black bullhead), 75 nucleotides. The record is from the annotation of a GenBank genome assembly. Lineage: Eukaryota; Metazoa; Chordata; Actinopteri; Siluriformes; Ictaluridae.
AGCAGUAGUGGCUCACUGGUUAAAGGCUCUGGGUUACCGAUCAGAAGGUCGGGGGUUCAAGCCCCAGCACUGCUA